AUCACAACCCUAUGAGGUGGGUACUAUUAUCCCCAUUUUACAGAAGAGGAAACUAUGAAUGGCAGAGCUGGGCUCAAAUCCAGCUCCAGUGCUGGCACUCUUAACUAUUACACAAUGGAACAGAAGAUUCUACAAAUGCAUCCCAAAAUGUCAGGGAAUUUAGUAUUUGAUAAAGGGGGCAUUUUAAGUUAAUGAGUGAAAUGUCAACUAUUCAAUAAUUAUGAAG
This 226-nucleotide long non-coding RNA is filed under the name Homo sapiens (human). Its description in RNAcentral is "non-protein coding lnc-HUWE1-1:1". The record is from RNAcentral. Lineage: Eukaryota; Metazoa; Chordata; Mammalia; Primates; Hominidae.